GUCCUUUUGCCGCAAAUUAGCAAAUUUAAAAACAACUCGUUUGGUUUUCUUACAGCUGCAUUGAAAGAGGUGUGAGGAAUCCCAAAGUACUCAAAUCAGGGGAAUCCCAAAAACCUGAAGGACUUAGUCCAAUACUCACCGUUUGGCUUUUGGAGCUCACAACAAAACAGGGCAGGAACAAGAUCAUGAGGUGUCCCUCCUAAAGAGUCCAGCUUUCUGAUCAAUGCUCUCCUUCUUCAACACUACAAGCGUGGUGCGUACUACUCACGGGGGGGCGCCAGUGAGUUUGCCUUCCACAUCAUCAAUGUCAUUGAAAAGGCGGGCGGUGCUGUUCUCGUCAGGGCUCCGGUACACCGUGUCCUGCUCAACCGGCAGAACAAGGCCUACGGUGUGACGGUGCUCAAAGGACAAGAAGAGAUUGAGGUCCAUGCCCCUGUUGUCAUUUCUAAUGCUGGCAUUUUCAACACAUUCGAGACGUUUCUACCUCAGCCCAUACAGGAGAAACCAGAGAUCCAGUCACUGUUGGGUUUGGUGCGCCAUGGCAUGGGUUCCUUCUUGUUCUUUGUUCAUCUGGAUGGAACCAAAGAGGAGCUGCAUCGUUUCCACCAACUUUUGGAUAUAUAAAGACAAUGACUUGGACUCACUGUACGCCACCUAUCACCACCUUGAAGAUCAUACCUUAUUGGCUUGCUAACUUCCUGGUUCGAAUCGGCCUGUUGGAUCGCAUAUCUUCAGUGUUUAGCCUAGCAACAACCAGCCAUUCAGAAAUGAUGUCCCGUCUCACACAGAACAAGGACCUGGCACUGUCUGCGUACCUCUUCUAUGGUGAUGGACACACUCACAUUCAUCACAUAUCACACUCUCUAUAUCAUUGGGGUCAAACAUAAGGCCCACGGGAUGCCUUUGCAAAGUGUAGAAAUUACAGAGAAGACUGAUUUUUCAGAACUUGUAUGUAUACAUUUACAAGGCAGGGGGAUAGUUUAACCUACUUCCUGAAUAGUUCUCACUUUAGUUUGUAUUGUGUUGUGUCAGGAUUACUAUACAGAUGUGGAAAUUAAUGUAAAAUAAUUACUAGAUCCUGACGAGUUGUUUUGAUCAUAAAGUAAAUAACUAUAUUGUUUAGUUCCAUAUACCUGUGACUAAAUAUUUCUGUAGAUACACUGUGAUCUGUAAGUAAUGCACAUGUGUAAAUGAUAAACUGAGGAAUAGAAUGGUUUAAAUGGCCCUUAUUUUCUCAAUAUUUACUGGUCCGGGCCAUAGAGAUCAAAUGUGUCUGUACGCUGCUCUAUAUCCUCUUCAUUGGUCUAUUUCAUAUCAUUUUGGGUGUCCCUCUGAAAGAGUCCAGCUUUCUGAUCAAUGCUCUCCUUCUUCAACACUACAAGCGUGGUGCGUACUACCCACAGGGGGGGGCACCAUUGAGUUUGCCUUCCACAUCAUCAAUGUCAUUGAAAAGGCGAGCGGUGCUGUUCUCGUCAGGGCUCCGGUACACCGCGUCCUGCUCAACCGGCAGAACAAGGCCUACGGUGAGAAAAGAGUUGGAGACCAGUUCUGGAAUGCAGUUGCUUUUUUUUAAUGAGAGCGUGCCAAGGUUCAUGGAGCUCAUGAGACAUUCUUUCACACCUGUAUCAGUCUUCUAAGCAGAGCUAUGUCUUUUUGGGCUCCAAGCCAGAACAGAGAUUGGAAGUCGGUCGCAUGACUUCCUGCUUUGUUAACCGCUUUUCAAAACACUCUAGAAAUUGUUACUAGGCUUGAACCAAAACAAAAAUGGGGCACCAGUUUUCAAGCAUUUUUAGGAGUUGGUUAAAUUUACCAAUAUUGUCAUUAACUUGGUUUGUUAUACCUGUUUCCUUUAUUUUAUAAUAUUCUUGUCUGCUUUUACUUAUUUUCUUUGUAAUUGUUGAUUCCUUCCACCUGUGUGUGUUCUCCAGCUUUGUUAAUGUUAUAAGUAUACUGUUCCUAUAUAUGUUUAAGUUUUGAUCAUUUUGUUUGGUACUUUCCCUUUUUUGCACUUGCCUGCUUUUUAGUUUUGUGUUUUUGUAACCAGCUUUGAUUUGAUAAAGCUACAUUUUGGUUUUUCAUAUCUGCCUCCCCUCUUUUGAACUGCUAUUAAGGCCUUAUUUCCUUACCCUUGUGACAAUGGUGCACAAUGGUUUGUCAAACAAAGCACAUGGUGUAGUCCUAAACGAUAGCUGAGGAUUCUGGGUAGUGUAGUGUCUUCUGCCAUCCUAAACUCCGAAAAAAUAUUUGUUUCUCCAAAUAAAAGGGGGAAAAUACAAAAGCAUUGUACACAAUUUAAACCAAUCAAUGUUGUGUAAUUAACAAAGAUAAUUUGUUGUUUUUGAGUUGAUGAGUAGUGCAGAUAUCACUGUAAAAUCAAUCGACAGUAAGGAGACUCCGUUAUCCAAUGGGAAUGGACGCUCACAUUGCCUUUAAACAGCCGCCGACAUAAACGGAUGCGGUGCUUCCAUGAGUGUCAAAUAUCUCCGCCGAUGGGAAUACAUUGCAAUCAGUUGAAAGCUCUUUGCGUCCGUUUAUGAAGCUGAAGGAGCCUCGGCGCGUCCCAACUGCACGC
This is a long non-coding RNA of Gymnodraco acuticeps, 2572 nucleotides long. RefSeq lists it as uncharacterized. The record is from RefSeq and is a predicted model, not a curated record. The transcript has 5 exons. Lineage: Eukaryota; Metazoa; Chordata; Actinopteri; Perciformes; Bathydraconidae.